RNAcentral lists this ribosomal RNA (924 nucleotides) under bacterium. RNAcentral's name for it is "bacterial SSU rRNA". It matches the Rfam family "Bacterial small subunit ribosomal RNA", at positions 56 to 988 of the family's 1533-position model. The record is from RNAcentral.
UGCAGUCGAACGAUGAUCUCCCGCUUGCGGGGGUGAUUAGUGGCGAACGGGUGAGUAAUACGUGAGUAACCUGCCCUUGACUCUGGGAUAAGCCUGGGAAACCGGGUCUAAUACUGGAUACUACUCCUUAUCGCAUGGUGGGGGGUGGAAAGGGUUUUACUGGUUUUGGAUGGGCUCACGGCCUAUCAGCUUGUUGGUGGGGUAAUGGCUCACCAAGGCGACGACGGGUAGCCGGCCUGAGAGGGUGACCGGCCACACUGGGACUGAGACACGGCCCAGACUCCUACGGGAGGCAGCAGUGGGGAAUAUUGCACAAUGGGCGGAAGCCUGAUGCAGCGACGCCGCGUGAGGGAUGACGGCCUUCGGGUUGUAAACCUCUUUCAGCAGGGAAGAAGCCACAAGUGACGGUACCUGCAGAAGAAGCGCCGGCUAACUACGUGCCAGCAGCCGCGGUAAUACGUAGGGCGCAAGCGUUGUCCGGAAUUAUUGGGCGUAAAGAGCUCGUAGGCGGUUUGUCGCGUCUGCUGUGAAAGCCCGGGGCUCAACCCCGGGUCUGCAGUGGGUACGGGCAGACUAGAGUGCAGUAGGGGAGACUGGAAUUCCUGGUGUAGCGGUGAAAUGCGCAGAUAUCAGGAGGAACACCGAUGGCGAAGGCAGGUCUCUGGGCUGUUACUGACGCUGAGGAGCGAAAGCAUGGGGAGCGAACAGGAUUAGAUACCCUGGUAGUCCAUGCCGUAAACGUUGGGCACUAGGUGUGGGGGACAUUCCACGUUCUCCGCGCCGUAGCUAACGCAUUAAGUGCCCCGCCUGGGGGAGUACGGCCGCAAGGCUAAAACUCAAAGGAAUUGACGGGGGCCCGCACAAGCGGCGGAGCAUGCGGAUUAAUUCGAUGCAACGCGAAGAACCUUACCAAGGCUUGACAUU